GUUACAGCAAAUGAGAAUCCAACAGGUGCUCAGUACAAGUCUUCACUCUAAGGCUGACUGCUAGCAACUGAUGCGCUCUGUGGACGACAAAAUUUCAUCCA
This is a long non-coding RNA of Thalassophryne amazonica, 101 nucleotides long. RefSeq lists it as uncharacterized. The record is from RefSeq and is a predicted model, not a curated record. The transcript is spliced from 3 exons. Lineage: Eukaryota; Metazoa; Chordata; Actinopteri; Batrachoidiformes; Batrachoididae.